GCAGACUUGAAUAGAACUAAAAGGAAGAGGAAGGGCAAAUUUGUUGGCUGCUUGAGCUGGGAUAUUCAUCUUUCUCCUGAUCUUGGACAUCAGAACUCCUGAUUCUCAAGCCUUUGGGUUUGGACUGGAGGCACCAGCUUUCCUGGGCCUCCAGCUUGCAGAUGGCAUAUCAUGGAACUUCUCAGCCUCCAAAUUCAUAACUCUAAUACACCAGUACAAUGGAAAGAUUCCUAAAUUCAAAAGCCAGAAGGCUGGGUUCCUGUUCCCACCCUGCCUUUUACCUUCUGUGUGUUCCUGAUGAAGACACUUCAUGCUCCACUAUUUACUUACCUCUGAAACGAAGGGCUGACCCAGAUCAGUUGUUCUCUGACCUGCUUGGAGGGACUCAGAGGCUGUGGAGCAACAGAUUUGGGAAUGAGGAAUCGUUCCCUGGAAGAGUCAGAGCGCUCGUAGACACAUUCUGCUGGAUUGCACGAGCUCCUCCCCUGGGAAAUCCACUAAGACUAGAGGAAAGAAUUGCUUGGAGGAUUCAGAGGCUGAAGAGUGGACAGACGGCUUUAAUUGAGAAAAAGAAGCAGAAAAUUGAGGAAGAUGUGAGGCAUCAAUGCCAGCAGACGACAUGUGACAGGUGCUAGCCACAUGGAUCACACUAAAUUUCUGUCAUUUAUAUAGAUAAAAAAGAAUUUCCAAAGAGCUCCUCCAUAAUUCAGCAUUAACCAGCUUUAAAUCAUCACCUUUCUUUACCUUUUCAAAGCACUUUUAUCUAGCUAGCUUUCACUUUCAGAGUGGCCAAUUCAGGUGAGGAUUCUCAAUCCUGUUCUGCAGCUGAGGAACUCAUGCUCAAAAGGGCUAAGAGUUUAUUCUCUUACAUCCAAACACCUUGCUUUUCCAAAUCUUGUGCUCACUUUACCUACACAUUUUGAUUUUUCCAGGCUGAUGACAAGUUAGACAUGCAGACUCCUCAGGCUCAUUCAUAAUCUGUAUAGACAUUACAGGUCAUGCAAAUUUAAGAAAAGGCUAAAAGGUGCCCGUUUGCACCCAACAUGUUGGAUAAUGCCCCGGUAAAGUGGAAAAUCAGUUUCCACAGCCUCGCUCUGUAGGUUUCCUUGGAAUUGUAAAAGCAUAGGACUCUGCCUCAUAUUUAUUUCUAUACGGCAAUGAGGAUAUAAAGGAGCAGACCGAAAAGAGAAAGGAAUUUUAAAAGCCAUGGAAAGCUGCCCUAAAUGUGGUUGGAUAUAGAGAGGAGAGUGCUGAAGGCAAACAGCUGUGCCCUCUUUGCCUUUUUGCUGAGGAAGGGGAUUUAAGCCAAAAGAACACACGUAAACGUGGAUUUCUUAAAGUUCUCACUGUAAUUAUGUAGCCUUGGGAGAUGAGGAAUUGUAAAGUAGAUGCUGGCUUAAACAAAUGAUAAAUCCUUGAGGUGAUGGGCACCCCAUUUUCCCUGAUGUGAUUAUUACACAUAGCAUUCCUGUAUCAAAAUAUCCCAUGUAACCCAUAAAUAUAUAUACCUACCAGUAUAUUUCUGUGGCUAAUCUGAAAGCCACCUGCACCCUUGUGAAGACACCCACAGAGACUUCUGCCUCCCCUCCUACCCUCUGGCCUCAAGAGCUCCCUGGGCUCUCCUGUUGCAGGAGGGAGAGGGAGAGCUUCUUUAGGUUCCUGGUAAGGAUCUCUGAAGACAAUUCCUUAGGCUUGGAUAAUUCCCAGACAUUUGCUAAAAAGCAGCAUCCUCCAAAGCUUUAAUUUGGAUCACAGGAAAAUGAUGCUCCCGCCUCAGAUUCAAACACAGUUUUAUCUCACACUGCAAGCUCCCUGGCAUGGGCAAAGUCCUCGAUGCCUUUCCUGGUGGUUUCCAACAUCAAGGACAUACUUGUUCCUCCUCCUAGCUCUCUCCCUCAGCCAAGUCCUUCCUUACAAUGAAUUGUCCUGCAGAACUCCCUCUUAAGCUUGGCUUCUGGGACAGAAAACCUACUUUCUGAAAGGGUAUGGGGACUGUCAGAGCAUGAACUGGACUCAAGCUCCCAAUUACAGAGCAGACACAAGGCUCUGCCUGCACCAGGCCAUCCCUGGAUUUCUGCAGCUCCAGGACUCUCUUCCAGCAUCUAGAUGCAGCUACUCUCAUUCCAGCUUUGUGUCCUGUUUGAUGCAAAAUCUUUAUUCCUUCCUGUUUCAAUCCCUGUUGCAUAUUCUGUGUGACAAAGCAAGAAGCUGGAAAUCGAGUUCUGAGCUUUAUACCCAGCUCUGCCACAAAUGUGCCAUGACCUUGAAUAAGUCACAUGACUUAUCUGGACCUGGAUUCUCUCAUCUGUAAAAGAGGAAGCUGAGCUAUACUACUUUUAAAAUGUCUCCAGCUUUAAUUUUAUUAGAAUAUCAGCUGCUUCCUCCUCUGGUUUCUCAUGGCAGGUUGUGCAUUCUUCUCUGGAGACACCAAAUUUCAUUGGAGUAUCUCUCCUUACAAAUGUAUUUCCCCACUAGAUUGGCCCCUCAAGAACAAGGAUUGUAUUUUAGUUACCUCUGUUAUCUCUGUACCUGGGGAGGAGUGAGAAAAGGAGAGCAGGAAAGGCAAUGGUAUAGUACCAACAUUUGUUGAGCUUCUAUUAUGAGGAAUUGUCUAUGCUACACAUUGUACAUAAAGUAUGUAUGAUUCACAGUAUAAACAUUAUAAUCUGGAAUCAACCUAAAUGUUCAUUAGCAGAUGAAUGGAUAAAGAAAAUGUGGUAUAUAGACGCAACACAAUACUAUACAGCCAU
RNAcentral lists this long non-coding RNA (2750 nucleotides) under Homo sapiens (human). Its description in RNAcentral is "long intergenic non-protein coding RNA 1559". The record is from RNAcentral. Lineage: Eukaryota; Metazoa; Chordata; Mammalia; Primates; Hominidae.